Molecule: ribosomal RNA, 492 nt
Filed under: uncultured bacterium
Lineage: Bacteria
Description: partial 16S ribosomal RNA
Rfam family: Bacterial small subunit ribosomal RNA
Source: RNAcentral
AGUGAACGCUGGCGGUAUGCCUAACACAUGCAAGUCGAACGGCAGCACAGUAAGAGCUUGCUCUUACGGGUGGCGAAUGGCGGGCGGGUGACGAAUACAUCGGAAUCUACUUUUUCGUGUGAGAUCACGUAAGGAGAGUUACGCUAAUACCGCAUACGACGUACGGUGGAAAGCAUGGGAUCUUCUGACCUUGCGCGGUUGGAUUAGCCGCUGUCGGAUUAGCUAGUUGGCUGGGUAAAGACCCACCAAGUCGACGAUCCGCAGCUGGUGUGGGAGGAUGAUCAGCCACACUGGAACUGAGACAGGGUCCAGAGUCCUAAGGGAGGGAGCAGUGGGGAAUAUUGGGCAAUGGGGGCAAGCCUGACCCAGCCAGACCGAGUGUGUGAAGAAGGCCCUCGGGUUGUAAAGACGUUUUGUUGGGAAAGAACAGCAGCAGGUUAAGACGCAGCUGUUGUGACGGUACCGAAAAAAUAAGCACCGGCUAACUUCGUG